Long non-coding RNA from Scleropages formosus (Asian bonytongue), 872 nucleotides. NCBI's taxonomy places the organism in Eukaryota, Metazoa, Chordata, Actinopteri, Osteoglossiformes, Osteoglossidae. The record is from Ensembl.
CCCCCCCGGGUUCUGUAAUUUCUGGGAAAUGAGAGGCAGCCAUGGGAGAGCAGCGGAGGUCUGAUGUGUUUUUCUGACCCAGUGGCCCCUGGCGGAGCCCAUCUCGACGUGAGUCUGCGGGGGUAUAAAAGGGCCUGUUGCGAGGACACCUCCCAGUGCUUCGCCAUGGAGGUUAUGCUCUUCGUCUGCCUCCUCUGUCUGCAGGGGUACGUGUCGACCGUCAUCCUCCUUCCCCCGGGGGGAGGCACCGACUCGGACCAAGACCCUGUGGCCGUCACCGCUGGUGCGGACCUCAGCAGAAUGCGGCCAGUAGGGAAUGCAAGGAUCCUGUCAGAACUGGUGGUUCCAGAAGUAUCUAUCCUGGACGAGAGGGGUUUACAGGCCCAAAGGGUGAAAAGACAAAUGAAACCCAAGAAGAAAAAGCCAAAGCCAAAGCCAAACCCAGGGUCAUUCUCCGUUCUCAGUUCAGACAAAAGGGUGAAGAGGCACCAAGACAAACAGAGGAGGAAUUCAAAUAAGAAGCCAUAUUCUGGAAAGUUCUCCCCUCUGGGCCAAGGAAGUCCCCCCACGCAGGAGGCUUUUCAAUGAGGGACAUCAAGAGGUGGUUCCCCAGACCGCUGAGCACACGUCUGGCAUCCUUCUCACAUCCUUCAAAACAGACACUCAAAAAGCUGCAGCAUCUCCACGGACAGACUCCUAAACACACUCAAGCAACGCAUUACACACACUCCAAACGUGUGGUUUAAAUUAAACAGCGUAAAACUGUGGAAACAGGAACCUGUAAACAAAUUCUCUCUUUGCAGGUAUUAAAUUGCAAAGUAAUGUGCAAAGCCACAAGAAUAAAGAAACCUUUGUAUCCUCGUAGUCUUUCA